Molecule: ribosomal RNA, 521 nt
Filed under: uncultured Bacteroidota bacterium
Lineage: Bacteria; Pseudomonadati; Bacteroidota
Description: bacterial SSU rRNA
Rfam family: Bacterial small subunit ribosomal RNA
Source: RNAcentral
AUUGGACAAUGGAGGCAACUCUGAUCCAGCCAUGCCGCGUGCAGGAAGACUGCCCUAUGGGUUGUAAACUGCUUUUAUACGGGAAGAAACACCCCUACGUGUAGGGACUUGACGGUACCGUAAGAAUAAGCAUCGGCUAACUCCGUGCCAGCAGCCGCGGUAAUACGGAGGAUGCAAGCGUUAUCCGGAAUCAUUGGGUUUAAAGGGUCCGUAGGCGGGCAAUUAAGUCAGAGGUGAAAGUUUGCGGCUCAACCGUAAAAUUGCCUUUGAUACUGGUUGUCUUGAAUCAUUGUGAAGUGGUUAGAAUAUGUAGUGUAGCGGUGAAAUGCAUAGAUAUUACAUAGAAUACCAAUUGCGAAGGCAGAUCACUAACAAUGUAUUGACGCUGAGGGACGAAAGCGUGGGGAGCGAACAGGAUUAGAUACCCUGGUAGUCCACGCCGUAAACGAUGGAUACUAGCUGUUCGGCUUCGGCUGAGUGGCUAAGCGAAAGUGAUAAGUAUCCCACCUGGGGAGUACGUU